GAUGAACGCUGGCGGCGUGCCUAAUACAUGCAAGUCGAGCGAACGGACGAGAAGCUUGCUUCUCUGAUGUUAGCGGCGGACGGGUGAGUAACACGUGGAUAACCUACCUAUAAGACUGGGAUAACUUCGGGAAACCGUAGCUAAUACCGGAUAAUAUUUUGAACCGCAUGGUUCAAAAGUGAAAGACGGUCUUGCUGUCACUUAUAGAUGGAUCCGCGCUGCAUUAGCUAGUUGGUAAGGUAACGGCUUACCAGGCAACGAUGCAUAGCCGACCUGAGAGGGUGAUCGGCCACACUGGAACUGAGACACGGUCCAGACUCCUACGGGAGGCAGCAGUAGGGAAUCUUCCGCAAUGGGCGAAAGCCUGACGGAGCAACGCCGCGUGAGUGAUGAAGGUCUUCGGAUCGUAAAACUCUGUUAUUAGGGAAGAACAUAUGUGUAAGUAACUGUGCACAUCUUGACGGUACCUAAUCAGAAAGCCACGGCUAACUACGUG
This 496-nucleotide ribosomal RNA is filed under the name uncultured bacterium. Its description in RNAcentral is "partial 16S ribosomal RNA". It matches the Rfam family "Bacterial small subunit ribosomal RNA", at positions 28 to 507 of the family's 1533-position model. The record is from RNAcentral.